This 4575-nucleotide ribosomal RNA is filed under the name Triticum aestivum (bread wheat). Its description in RNAcentral is "partial small subunit ribosomal RNA". Lineage: Eukaryota; Viridiplantae; Streptophyta; Magnoliopsida; Poales; Poaceae. The record is from RNAcentral.
GUUCUUCCGAUCAUGAUGAUGAUUACUGGCCGGGCCAGCUGUCCGAAACGCUCCCCCCGUCUUCUCUCUUCUCUUGCCCGGCACGCUCUCCAACCCAAAGCCAGACCGUUCCUCCUCUCCUCCCACCCCCCAACCGCUAACCCUACCCGCCGGCGGCGCGGCGGAGACCCGACUCCGGGAGGGCGCCCGAUCCCCCGCGAGCCAUGCCGCACGCGCGCUCCGAUCUGGCCUUGGAUGAUUCGCCAGCAGAGUCGUCGAGCUUCCGCAGCCCCAGCUCUUUCCCCAGAACGAAGCGUACAAAGUGGUCUGACAGGGAACCGCUUGAUUGUUCCACGUCGGCCUGCGGUGGUGCACGCGUGAAGAUGCUUGACCGGUGUUCGGAGAGGCGUCAGAUUGCUUCCUGUAGCGGCGACCAACCGCAGAGCUCAGGCAUGUUUGUUGCCACGCAGGGGAAUGCUUGUCCCGUCAAUAACGGUGGUGGGAUCUAUUCGCAGUCUGGCAUGAGCUAUUCAAAUGGUCAAAAUGGGACAUACGGUGCAUAUCCACAACAUCAGCCCUUUGAAGGCUGUAUGUAUGUGAAUGAGCAUGGCCAGAUGUGUGGGCCUUACGCACCCAAGCAGCUCUAUGAGGGGCUAUCCAGUAGUUUCUUGCCUCAAGAUCUUGCUAUUUAUGCUCUUGUUGGUGGGCAAAUGCUCAAUCCUGUAGCCUUGAGUUCUCUGGAGCAGUUCCUUUCACAAUGGAAUUCUGCCGGCGCGGUCACCACGCCGAAUGAAUCGAAGGAGAAUAAGACAGUGGCUCGUACUGAUAAAAUGGCGUUUCCAGAUGCUCUCUCAAGCGAUGAGUCAUGCUGGAUGUUCGAGGACAGCGAUGGCAGCCGUCAUGGGCCACAUUCUCUUGCUGAACUUUCUUAUUGGCUUCAUAGCAGCUAUCUCCAGGAUCUUUCUAUGGUUUACCAUGUUGAUAGCAAAUUUGGUCCAUUUACACUUGUCUCAUUAAUUGAUUGGUGGAGUGGAGGUCACACAGAGCAUUCAGAAGCCUCAGAAAAUGAUUCUGGGUCAGCCAGUGACGUGUUGGGUGACAUAGUCGAUGAUAUUAGUCAUCAGCUCCAUGCCGGUAUAGUGAAAUCAGCCCGCAAGAUUUUUGUUGAUGAAAUUUUCAGCUGUGUGCUUCCAGAAAUUAUCGCCUGUAGGAAGACUGAGAAGCAACUAGCUGCAAAAUCGAAACUCCUAGCUGUUAAGCCUGACAGCAAGAAGGCUUCAGCAUUAAAGGGCAAGGCUCAUGCAAAAUUUACUAAUCACAAAAAAGGAAGCUCAUAUAAUACAGUACGAGCAACUUCUCCCGUGGCUGUUCAGUCAACUGCGGUGCAUACCAAAUUUGCUGAUGUAUUAUCAGCAGUUUGGCAAACUCUUUAUUACGAAUCCAUGAAGAAUAUCUGGGAUGGGAUACUGUAUGAUCCUGUUAUGGACUACUGUGGUGCAUGGAUUAAGAGAAAUCACCAUUCGAGUCUUCCUUGUACGAGUAUUCCUGGUUCGUCUGAUAACAGAAACAAGCAAGAAGCUGAUGGAUUGAAGGUAAUAUGUGAUUCAGAAGCUCUUGAGUGCGACAUGGAUUUCCCACCUGGAUUUGGGCCGACAUUGGAGUGUGCAAGCCCCGUCUCUCCGCCGUUGUUAGACAUUGGUUCUUGCGAUGACAAAAAUAGUUGGUGGCGUGAAUCAAAUUCCACCACAUAUUUUGACACCUCAUCAGGAGUCCAGGUAAUGCUGGCGAAUGAACUAUACGUGGCAGCAAAGGAAACUUUGUUUCACCAUUUCAGGGAGGUUAUUGCAGAGGAGAUAACAAACUGGUUGGGCUUUGGACUUGAAGACAUCACUGAUCAAGAACUAAUUCGUACUCCUGUUCAUGCACCGGACUCGCCUAGUUCUGCUGGAAUGGACAUUCAUGAAACACCCCCCAUUCCUCCUGAAAUGGCUCAAGAUAAAUUAUUGGAUAUUGCUAAAAUGACUACAGAUGCAAUAACCAGUCCGGCUGAAAUGGCUCUAGAUGCAAUAACCAGUCCGGCUGAAAUGGCUCUAGAUGCAAUAACCAGCACGGCUGAAAUGGCUCUAGAUGCAAUAACCAGUCCGGCUGAAAUGGCUGUGGAUGAAGUGUUGGUUACCGCUGAAAUAGCUACUGUACCCAGUCCUGCUGACAUGGUGGCAGGCGCAACAUCAUUUGUAUCUGAUGUGGCAACGGAUAAAAUGCUCACUUCUCAUGUGGAGCAUCAAUCCCCUUCUUCAUCUUAUGCUAGUAUAUUUGAAAAGCUGGAUGUAUCCGAGGCAGCUGAAUUGGAUGAGAGUUUUGAUGAGGUGCCUCCUGGUAUGGAGACUGGCUCAGCUUCUGUGCUGGUCAUGGACAAAAACAAAUACCAACCUUCAAAAUCAAUCAACUCUAUGCCCGGAAUUUCUAGAUACAUCACCGUGGCUAUCUGCAGGCAGACACUGCAUACGAAUGUUAUAGAAGAGUGGGCAUCUCUCCUGUCAGAUACUAUCAGCGAGUGCCUUGAUUCAUGGUAUACCAAGCAGACUGUUGUGCCUAAAAACAUCGACGAAUCAUUGAGACCUAAUAAAGAAUAUGCGUACUACAGAAAGAGAAAGUUAAGGAACAGCUGUGAAGCAGUGUCAUCCAAAAAAGCAGUGAGAACUCCAACGGAUGAGCAGCUUUCCAAGCCUCUACGUGAGCUUGUUGAGCGCAAGGUUCAUCUUAAAAAUGUCCAGGAACCAAGGAAGGUCGGGAAGUCGAAAAAGUCCUCCAAGAGUCGUACCAAAACUCUUGAUAAUGUUGUAAACACUUUGAAUAUCGAACAAGGCUUGAAGCGGCUUUCCAAUGAUGUGCCAAAGACCUCCAAGAGUCGUACCAAAACACUUGAUAAUGCUGUAAACCCUUUGAAUAUCGAACAAGGCUUGAAGCGGCUUCCCAAUGAUGUACCAAAGGCCUCCAAGAGUCGUACCAAAACUCUUGAUAACGCUGUAAACCCUUUGAAUAUCAAACAAGGCAUGAAGCGGCUUUCCAAUGGUGUGCCAAAGGCCUCCAAGAGUCAUACCAAAACUCUUGAUAAUGCUGUAAACCCUUUGAAUAUUGAACAAGGCUUGGAGCGGCUUUCCAGUGAUGUGCCAAAGACCUCCAAGAGUCGUACCAAAACUCUUGAUAAUGUUGUAAACCCUUUGAAUAUCGAACAGGACUUGAAGCGGCUUUCCAAUGAUGUGCCAAAGAGACAAAGGACUUCUCAUCUUACUAGGAUGCCUCUGGUUGAUAAUGAGGUUCCUUUUGAGAACGUUAGUGUGCCCACAAAGCUUGCAAAGAAAAGAAAGAAUAAGAACAUGUCUACUGACUCCAGUCAGAAGGCAAAGCCAUUGAUUUUGUGUCCAGAGUCAGAUGGCUGUGCAAGAGCUUCCUCCAAUGGGUGGGAGUGGCGUAAUUGGGCACGCACCGCCACUCCAUCAGAAAGGACUCGUGUGAGAGGGUACCGCGUUCGGAGUAUUCUUUCAACUUCAGCUAAUAAUGUGUGGAAAAACCCGCAAGUUAAAGGUACAUCUGCGCGAACAAAUCGCGUUAAGUUACGAAACCUGUUAGCUGCUUCUGAAGGCACCGAGCUACUGAAAAUUACCCAAUCGAAGGCAAGGAAGAAGCGGUUACGUUUUCAAAGGAGCAAGAUCCAUGAAUGGGGUCUGGUGGCCCUUGAGUCAAUUGAUGCAGAAGAUUUCGUUAUUGAAUAUGUUGGUGAACUGAUUCGCCGGCCGGUCUCAGACAUACGUGAGGCUCAAUAUGAGAAGAGUGGAAUUGGAAGCAGUUACCUUUUUCGCUUGGACGAUGAUUAUGUGGUUGAUGCUACAAAGCGUGGCGGUUUAGCAAGAUUUAUCAACCAUUCGUGUGAGCCGAAUUGUUAUACAAAAAUAAUUACUGUUGAGGGCCACAAGAAGAUUUUCAUUUACUCAAAGAGGCGCAUAUAUGCUGGCGAAGAAUUGACGUACAAUUACAAAUUUCCAUUGGAGGAAAAGAAGAUACCAUGCCACUGUGGUUCCCAAAGGUGCCGUGGAUCAAUGAACUAAAAAGUCAAGCUUAUUACUGAGGAUUUUACACUAAAGUACAGGAUGGUGGAACAUGCUGUUUUGGGGAGAUUACAGUUUCUUACCCUGUGAUGAAGAACUACACUAUUUUAGGCUAGAUGAGCUGCUAAUUCAGGCUAUCCAGAGUAAGGCACAGGCGCUGACUAUUGGUUGCCAGCUCGCCACUGCCUCGUGGAAGACUGCAACUGAGCUUUCUCCCUCUGGUCUGCUGAGAGUGAAGAGGAGGACAAGUGAGUUCAGCGUGGGCGGAGCUAGUGGAUGGUUGGUUACUUGCUGACAAGGUUAAUACUAAUGUUCUUGCUCAUAUUUGGAUAGAAUUGGAAAACCCACAAUCUUGUACAUUGCCAAACAGCCCAACACUAUGAUUAAUUACAUUUGACCGAUUGAAAGAUAUAGAGAUUACAUUGUGGUUAUUGGACGAGAGGUAAAUCUAACUAGUAGCCUGUAAAAGAUGAAACACAGAAAGGCAAGC